CAUACCGGGCUCCACGUCUCCUGUCUUCUUUACCUGAUCCACGGGACCCCUCAUCUUUCCUGUAAGGGAGGCUCUAUUACCCCGUUUUUCAGAGAGGAGAGGCCCCGCCUCUUCCAGAACCUCCUGCUCUUCCUGUGGGCCCUGCUGAACUGUGGUUUGGGGGUCAGUGCUCAGUAGGGUCCGGGCGAGUGGACCCCAUGGGUGUCCUGGACCCGCUGCUCCAGCUCCUGCGGGCGUGGCGUCUCCGUGCGCAGCCGGCGCUGCCUCCGGCUUCCUGGGGAAGAACCGUGCUGGGGAGACUCCCACGAGUACCGCCUCUGCCAGUUGCCAGACUGCCCCCCAGGGGCUGUGCCCUUCCGAGACCUACAGUGUGCCCUGUACAAUGGCCGCCCUGUCCUGGGCACCCAGAAGACCUACCAGUGGGUGCCCUUCCAUGGGGCGCCCAACCAGUGCGACCUCAACUGCCUGGCUGAGGGGCACGCCUUCUACCACAGCUUCGGCCGCGUCCUGGACGGCACCGCCUGCAGCCCGGGUGCUCAGGGGGUCUGCGUGGCUGGCCGCUGCCUUAGCGCCGGCUGUGAUGGGUUGUUGGGCUCGGGUGCCCUCGAGGACCGCUGUGGCCGCUGCGGAGGCGCCAACGACUCGUGCCUUUUCGUGCAGCGCGUGUUUCGUGACGCCGGUGCCUUCGCUGGGUACUGGAACGUGACCCUGAUCCCCGAGGGCGCCAGACACAUCCGCGUGGAACACAGGAGCCGCAACCACCUAGCACUGAUGGGGGGCGAUGGGCGCUACGUGCUUAAUGGGGACUGGGCGGUCAGCCCACCAGGGACCUACGAGGUGGCCGGCACGCAUGUGGUCUACACCCGCGACACAGGGCCCCAGGAGACAUUGCAAGCAGCCGGGCCCACCUCCCAUGACCUGCUCCUACAGGUCCUCCUGCAGGAGCCCAACCCUGGCAUCGAGUUUGAGUUCUGGCUCCCUCGGGAGCGCUACAGCCCCUUCCAGGCUCGUGUGCAGGCCCUGGGCUGGCCCCUGAGGCAGCCGCAGCCCCGGGGGGUGGAGCCUCAGCCCCCCGCAGCCCCUGCUGUCACCCCUGCACGGACCCCAACCCUGGCCCCAGGCCCGAGUGCUGAGCCGCCACCGCCAGGCCCGGGAGACCCGCUAUGAGGUGCGUAUCCAGCUCGUCUACAAGAACCGCUCGCCACUGCGGGCACGCGAGUACGUGUGGGCGCCAGGCCACUGCCCCUGCCCGAUGCUGGCACCCCACCGGGACUACCUGAUGGCUGUCCAGCGUCUUGUCAGCCCCGACGGCACACAGGACCAGCUGCUGCUGCCCCACGCCGGCUACGCCCGGCCCUGGAGCCCUGCGGAGGACAGCCGCAUACGCCUGACUGCCCGGCGCUGUCCUGGCUGAGCCCCUGCAGGAGCCCCGGCCACACACAGCAAGAAAGAUACAUCUGACCAGCCUCAACGUCAACGUAUUUCCCCUCUCACCCUGGCUUCCAGGCAGCUCUGAAAUACGUCCCACCUGUGCAGCUAUGUGACUCCCUCCCGCACACGCU
Molecule: small RNA, 1562 nt
Filed under: Pan troglodytes (chimpanzee)
Lineage: Eukaryota; Metazoa; Chordata; Mammalia; Primates; Hominidae
Description: processed transcript
Source: RNAcentral